AAAGAGAUGACCUCAGUCAAGACGAUCCCGUAAAACCCAUCCAUCGUUAGUAUUGGAAGCAGUAUCAUAGUUGCACUUCACCAUACCGUCAAUUGGACGUUCCCAACUUGUAUGUGAUAACAAAAAGCUCAACAUCAAUUUGUUAAUGAAGUUAUAACUGUAGUCUUCACCCAUUCAUCCACCUUUGCAUUAGCCGUUCCCCAUAUCCUUUGAGGUUGUUUGGUUGCACUUCCUUUUCCUGACUGUAAAGUAAACAGUAUCAUAAUGCACUUCUUUUAAGCUAAACAAAUGUAGUAUCAUAUACAAGCUUAUAUAUCAAUAGCAGGUUAAGUAAAGUACAUUUAGUAAAUCAAUAGAUUAGCCAAACUCAGAGUAACCAUCAACAGUCAAAACUCUUCAUUUUAAAUGCUGCAGAAAAAUAGUUCUCGAGCCCAUAUAUUUUCAGUAUUCUGAAUCGAUAACUAAACAUAUUGUAAGAUACAUUUCAUAUAAAUACAAACUAAACGUUAUAUUGUUGGUUUUAUAUUUCCAUUGAAAAUACCUAUAUUUUUUCUUAACAUUUCAAUAUAUUUUGAUAUAUUUAGUAAAAUUAUAUAAAAAACCACAUAUAAAUUCUAUGAAACAUAAAAAUAUAAAUCAAGUAAUAUAAUAAAAACAAUGUGAAAGUCAAAUUUCUAAAAAAAAAAUUAAUGUAUAUACGGUAAAAUAAAAUAUAUUUUUAAUUUAUAAAUAAAAAUAGAAAAAAUAGAAAAAAAACUAAAAAAGAAAAAAUUGUAAAUUAAUUUCUCUAUAAAUUAAUAAAAUUUCAAAGUCCCAACAUUAUUAAUUUAUAGAGGUUAUACUGUAUACGGUGAUGCGUUUCAACUGAGUAAGUAAUGAUGGUUUCUUGAAGAGGCAUAGAUAUCUUUGAUUGAGAGGAGGGAUGUGGAGAGGUACAAAGAGUCUUCACUUGAUGAGUUAUUAGGGAGCAUUGAAGUGCCAUUGUUGUAGUCGUAGGAGUUACACCGGUGAAGUUGGAUAGACGAACAGAUUUGGAGUCGCU
RNAcentral lists this long non-coding RNA (1042 nucleotides) under Brassica rapa (field mustard). RNAcentral describes it as "long non-coding RNA (BRAP_LNC007172)". The record is from RNAcentral. Lineage: Eukaryota; Viridiplantae; Streptophyta; Magnoliopsida; Brassicales; Brassicaceae.